This is a non-coding RNA of Poecilia reticulata (guppy), 820 nucleotides long. The record is from RefSeq and is a predicted model, not a curated record. NCBI's taxonomy places the organism in Eukaryota, Metazoa, Chordata, Actinopteri, Cyprinodontiformes, Poeciliidae.
GAAGGAGUCAGGGAAACUCCGUUUGAAUGAGGGAGCCUUUUAUUCAGCACCAUCAGAAGAGGCUGUUUAUGGCAGCAUACCGGUGUCUCCUGGGUCUCCUGGGAGCCUCUGUGUGUUGCGGCGCCAUAGACGCUUGUAGGUCAGCUGUGCAGAACACACGAUGUUUAACAUAUUUCACUUGUCCACAUUUACUUGUUUUGGAUGGGUGGCCAUGUCUGCUGGAGACAUGAAAACCCCUGUUCUGCAAAUCCCAAGAGCACGUGAACAUGACCCAAUAUCAAAUUGCAUUUUGUCGUUGCUAAGAAGAUGACACGGAGAGGUCAAGAGAGGUUAAAGAAAUCGGUGAGCCCACCAAGGGGCCCCCAGCAAGUCAUGCAGAAAGGGUCCCCCAGGUUGGGUUUACACUGCGACACACUUGGAGCUGCUCGCCGCCUCCUUUUCUUCCCAGGAAACAACGGGGACCCCCAGCUACAGUGAAGCACAGACCCAUGCAGCAAUACAAACUGGACCGUAGUUUUUCCAAUACAAACACACACUCAUCAAGCGGCUCUCUCCCUUUCUUCCCACUCCCUCCCUCAUGGCGCGCUCUCCCUCCUCGGCCCCCGUUCAUUCAGACAUAAUCAACGCAGUUGUGCUUCAGUGCACAGAUUACGAUAAUGAGCUAUGGCAAGGCGGUAGGCAAGAGGGGAAGCACAGUGAGAGUGGGAGAGGGAUGGUGGAGUGACAAAACGAAGAGAGCCGAGUAGUAGCAGCAAUUAGUGCUUCUUACAAGUAGCAGUGCUCUGAGUAAAUGUGCAAAGUUAAAUAAAUCAUAUGUUGU